GCGGGUUUGGUCUAUGGAUUGGGCCUCAGCCUUCCAAGCUGAAGAAACGGGUUUGAAUCCCGUAACCCGCUCCA
Molecule: transfer RNA, 74 nt
Filed under: Acidithiobacillus thiooxidans
Lineage: Bacteria; Pseudomonadati; Pseudomonadota; Acidithiobacillia; Acidithiobacillales; Acidithiobacillaceae
Description: tRNA-Gly
Rfam family: tRNA
About the family: Transfer RNA (tRNA) molecules are approximately 80 nucleotides in length. Their secondary structure includes four short double-helical elements and three loops (D, anti-codon, and T loops).
Source: RNAcentral